UUAAAAUUUAAUCAUUAGUAAUUAUGUCACUACCUCCAUCUAUUGGAAAUAGCUGAGACUUAAGAUGCUGAAGAUUUCUAAGUAAUUUUGCCCUUCUGCACCAGAUAGUAUGAGCAACAAAUACCUCCAGUUGCCUUAAAGAUCUUUAUGUUCUCUUAAUAUUUCUUCUCCAUCUCUGCAUCGAAGUCCUAUAUUUACUGCUACAGAGGAAAUGAGAAUUCUCUGUUCUUUACUAGACAUUAUGUGAAAGACAUUACAUGAAAGAGAAUGAUAGAGGAAGAAACUGUGUUCUUGUUUAAAAGGUCUAAAGAUACAUAAGUUGGAAGUAAAUCCUAAAAUAAAAGUCUUUGAUAUGGAUGGAAAUUUCAUGAAUGAAUUUCUUUUCCUUUCCCCUUCCUCUUAAUGAAGAACACAAGUAAAAUUGCAGAUUCAAACACUUGAGUACUGAGGCAGGCAGGGGGUUGAUUAGAGUUCUUUAAUUAUAACUAAUGACAGAAACAACAUGGGCUCCUGUUUUGCCUGGAUGGCAUAGGAAUUGAGCCACUCAUACAAAUACAGCAUGUCUCCCCUUAUUCUCUUUAUGGCAGAUGAUACAAAACUGAUUCAAUAAACCAAGCUGCUGUUUGAAGUUCUCAAGAACAAGACCCUCAGUCUGUGCCCCGCUCUGUUCACUGGGUUCCUGGUGAACAUGAAAGGGCAUUGACAGGAAUGAAGCAGCAGCCUGCGUGCAGCUGUAUCAAAGGGAAGCGCAGGAUGGGUGAGUGCAGGCUCCU
Molecule: long non-coding RNA, 773 nt
Filed under: Cyanistes caeruleus (blue tit)
Lineage: Eukaryota; Metazoa; Chordata; Aves; Passeriformes; Paridae
Description: lncRNA (ENSCCEG00000005382.1)
Source: RNAcentral